GACGAACGCUGGCGGCGUGCUUAACACAUGCAAGUCGAACGGAAAGGCCCCUUUGGGGGUACUCGAGGGGCGAACGGGUGAGUAACACGUGAGUAACCUGCCCUUUACUUCGGGAUAACUUCAGGAAACUGGGGCUAAUACCGGAUAGGAAUCCUUGCUGCAUGGUGGGGGUGGGAAAGCUUCGGCGGUUUUGGAUGGACUCGCGGCUUAUCAGCUUGUUGGUGGGGUAGUGGCUUACCAAGGCUUUGACGGGUAGCCGGCCUGAGAGGGCGAGCGGCCAUAUUGGGACUGAGAUACGGCCCAGACUCCUACGGGAGGCAGCAGUGGGGAAUAUUGCACAAUGGGCGGAAGCCUGAUGCAGCAACGCCGCGUGCGGGAUGACGGCCUUCGGGUUGUAAACCGCUUUCAGCAGGGGCGAAGCUUGUGGUGACGGUACCUGCAGAAGAAGCACCGGCUAACUACGUG
Molecule: ribosomal RNA, 465 nt
Filed under: uncultured bacterium
Lineage: Bacteria
Description: partial 16S ribosomal RNA
Rfam family: Bacterial small subunit ribosomal RNA
Source: RNAcentral